Molecule: ribosomal RNA, 253 nt
Filed under: uncultured prokaryote
Description: partial 16S ribosomal RNA
Rfam family: Bacterial small subunit ribosomal RNA
Source: RNAcentral
UACGAAGGGGGCUAGCGUUGUUCGGAAUUACUGGGCGUAAAGCGCGCGCAGGCGGUCUUCCAAGUCAGUGGUGAAAGCCCGGAGCUCAACUCCGGAACUGCCAUUGAAACUGUUAGACUUGAGGAUGAGAGAGGUGAGUGGAAUUCCCAGUGUAGAGGUGAAAUUCGUAGAUAUUGGGAGGAACACCAGUGGCGAAGGCGGCUCACUGGACCGGUUCUGGCGCUGAAGCGCGAAAGCGUGGGGAGCAAACAGG